Molecule: ribosomal RNA, 427 nt
Filed under: uncultured bacterium
Lineage: Bacteria
Description: partial 16S ribosomal RNA
Rfam family: Bacterial small subunit ribosomal RNA
Source: RNAcentral
UGGGGAAUAUUGCACAAUGGGCGCAAGCCUGAUGCAGCCAUGCCGCGUGUAUGAAGAAGGCCUUCGGGUUGUAAAGUACUUUCAGCGGGGAGGAAGGCGAUAAGGUUAAUAACCUUGUCGAUUGACGUUACCCGCAGAAGAAGCACCGGCUAACUCCGUGCCAGCAGCCGCGGUAAUACGGAGGGUGCAAGCGUUAAUCGGAAUUACUGGGCGUAAAGCGCACGCAGGCGGUCUGUCAAGUCGGAUGUGAAAUCCCCGGGCUCAACCUGGGAACUGCUUUCGAAACUGGCAGGCUAGAGUCUUGUAGAGGGGGGUAGAAUUCCAGGUGUAGCGGUGAAAUGCGUAGAGAUCUGGAGUAAUACCGGUGGCGAAUGCGGCCCCCUGGACAAAGACUGACGCUCAGGUGCGAAAGCGUGGGGAGCAAACA